GACGAACGCUGGCGGCGUGCUUAACACAAGCAAGUCGAACGGAAGGGCCCUGCUUUUGUGGGGUGCUCGAGUGGCGAACGGGUGAGUAACACGUGAGUAACCUGCCCUUGACUUUGGGAUAACUUCAGGAAACUGGGGCUAAUACCGGAUAGGAGCUCCUGCUGCAUGGUGGGGGUUGGAAAGUUUCGGCGGUUGGGGAUGGACUCGCGGCUUAUCAGCUUGUUGGUGGGGUAGUGGCUUACCAAGGCUUUGACGGGUAGCCGGCCUGAGAGGGUGACCGGCCACAUUGGGACUGAGAUACGGCCCAGACUCCUACGGGAGGCAGCAGUGGGGAAUAUUGCACAAUGGGCGGAAGCCUGAUGCAGCAACGCCGCGUGCGGGAUGACGGCCUUUGGGUUGUAAACCGCUUUCGCUUGUGACGAAGCGUGAGUGACGGUAAUGGGUAAAGAAGCACCGGCUAACUACGUG
Molecule: ribosomal RNA, 468 nt
Filed under: uncultured bacterium
Lineage: Bacteria
Description: partial 16S ribosomal RNA
Rfam family: Bacterial small subunit ribosomal RNA
Source: RNAcentral